GACGAACGCUGGCGGCGUGCUUAACACAUGCAAGUCGAACGGAAAGGCCCUGCUUUUGUGGGGUGCUCGAGUGGCGAACGGGUGAGUAACACGUGAGUAACCUGCCCUUGACUUUGGGAUAACUUCAGGAAACUGGGGCUAAUACCGGAUAGGAGCCCCUGCUGCAUGGUGGGGGUUGGAAAGUUUCGGCGGUUGGGGAUGGACUCGCGGCUUAUCAGCUUGUUGGUGGGGUAGUGGCUUACCAAGGCUUUGACGGGUAGCCGGCCUGAGAGGGUGACCGGCCACAUUGGGACUGAGAUACGGCCCAGACUCCUACGGGAGGCAGCAGUGGGGAAUAUUGCACAAUGGGCGGAAGCCUGAUGCAGCAACGCCGCGUGCGGGAUGACGGCCUUCGGGCUGUAAACCGCUUUCGCCUGUGACGAAGCGUGAGUGACGGUAAUGGGUAAAGAAGCACCGGCUAACUACGUG
Molecule: ribosomal RNA, 468 nt
Filed under: uncultured bacterium
Lineage: Bacteria
Description: partial 16S ribosomal RNA
Rfam family: Bacterial small subunit ribosomal RNA
Source: RNAcentral